RNAcentral lists this ribosomal RNA (493 nucleotides) under uncultured bacterium. RNAcentral's name for it is "bacterial SSU rRNA". It matches the Rfam family "Bacterial small subunit ribosomal RNA", at positions 903 to 1397 of the family's 1533-position model. The record is from RNAcentral.
AAAGGAAUUGACGGGGGCCCGCACAAGCGGAGGAGCAUGUGGCUUAAUUCGAUGCAACGCGAAGAACCUUACCCGGGUUUGACAUGCAGCUGCACGUCCCGUGAAAGCGGGAUUCCUUCGAGGGUGCUGCACAGGUGCUGCAUGGCUGUCGUCAGUUCGUGCCGUGAGGUGUUUGGUUAAGUCCAGCAACGAACGCAACCCCUGUGUCCGGUUGCCAGCGGGCAAUGCCGGGAACUCAGGACAGACUGCCCGUUCACACGGGAGGAAGGUGGGGACGACGUCAAGUCAGUAUGGCCCUUACAUCCGGGGCUGCACACGUGCUACAAUGGCCGGCACAAAGGGAAGCAAAGCCGCGAGGCGGAGCAAACCCCCAGAACCGGCCCCAGUUCAGAUUGCGGUCUGCAACCCGACCGCAUGAAGUCGGAUUCGCUAGUAACGGCGCAUCAGCUACGGCGCCGUGAAUACGUUCCCGGGCCUUGUACACACCGCCCGU